RNAcentral lists this ribosomal RNA (253 nucleotides) under uncultured bacterium. RNAcentral's name for it is "partial 16S ribosomal RNA". It matches the Rfam family "Bacterial small subunit ribosomal RNA", at positions 524 to 776 of the family's 1533-position model. The record is from RNAcentral.
UACGGAGGGUGCGAGCGUUGUCCGGAAUCAUUGGGCGUAAAGGGCUCGUAGGCGGUCCAUCGCGUCGGGAGUGAAAAGCUGGGGCUUAACCCCAGUCCUGCUUUCGAUACGGGCAGGCUAGAGUUCGGUAGGGGAGACUGGAAUUCCUGGUGUAGCGGUGAAAUGCGCAGAUAUCAGGAGGAACACCGGUGGCGAAGGCGGGUCUCUGGGCCGAUACUGACGCUGAGGAGCGAAAGCGUGGGGAGCGAACAGG